ACGCUGGCGGCAGGCCUAACACAUGCAAGUCGAGCGGUAGAGAGAAGCUUGCUUCUCUUGAGAGCGGCGGACGGGUGAGUAAUGCCUAGGAAUCUGCCUGGUAGUGGGGGAUAACGUUCGGAAACGGACGCUAAUACCGCAUACGUCCUACGGGAGAAAGCAGGGGACCUUCGGGCCUUGCGCUAUCAGAUGAGCCUAGGUCGGAUUAGCUAGUUGGUGAGGUAAUGGCUCACCAAGGCGACGAUCCGUAACUGGUCUGAGAGGAUGAUCAGUCACACUGGAACUGAGACACGGUCCAGACUCCUACGGGAGGCAGCAGUGGGGAAUAUUGGACAAUGGGCGAAAGCCUGAUCCAGCCAUGCCGCGUGUGUGAAGAAGGUCUUCGGAUUGUAAAGCACUUUAAGUUGGGAGGAAGGGCAGUUACCUAAUACGUGAUUGUUUUGACGUUACCGACAGAAUAAGCACCGGCUAACUCUGUGCCAGCAGCCGCGGUAAUACAGAGGGUGCAAGCGUUAAUCGGAAUUACUGGGCGUAAAGCGCGCGUAGGUGGUUAGUUAAGUUGGAUGUGAAAUCCCGGGCUCACCUGGGAACUGCAUUCAAACUGACUGACUA
This 612-nucleotide ribosomal RNA is filed under the name uncultured bacterium. Its description in RNAcentral is "bacterial SSU rRNA". It matches the Rfam family "Bacterial small subunit ribosomal RNA", at positions 33 to 643 of the family's 1533-position model. The record is from RNAcentral.